GACGCGAGCGGCGGAUGGGUGAGUAACACGUGGGGAACCUGCCCCAUAGUCUGGGAUACCACUUGGAAACAGGUGCUAAUACCGGAUAAGAAAGCAGAUCGCAUGAUCAGCUUAUAAAAGGCGGCGUAAGCUGUCGCUAUGGGAUGGCCCCGCGGUGCAUUAGCUAGUUGGUAAGGUAACGGCUUNCCAAGGCAAUGAUGCAUAGCCGAGUUGAGAGACUGAUCGGCCACAUUGGGACUGAGACACGGCCCAAACUCCUACGGGAGGCAGCAGUAGGGAAUCUUCCACAAUGGACGCAAGUCUGAUGGAGCAACGCCGCGUGAGUGAAGAAGGUUUUCGGAUCGUAAAGCUCUGUUGUUGGUGAAGAAGGAUAGAGGUAGUAACUGGCCUUUAUUUGACGGUAAUCAACCAGAAAGUCACGGCUAACUACGUGCCAGCAGCCGCGGUAAUACGUAGGUGGCAAGCGUUGUCCGGAUUUAUUGGGCGUAAAGCGAGCGCAGGCGGAAGAAUAAGUCUGAUGUGAAAGCCCUCGGCUUAACCGAGGAACUGCAUCGGAAACUGUUUUUCUUGAGUGCAGAAGAGGAGAGUGGAAUUCCAUGUGUAGCGGUGGAAUGCGUAGAUAUAUGGAAGAACACCAGUGGCGAAGGCGACUCUCUGGUCUGCAACUGACGCUGAGGCUCGAAAGCAUGGGUAGCGAACAGGAUUAGAUACCCUGGUAGUCCAUGCCGUAAACGAUGAGUGCUAAGUGUUGGGAGGUUUCCGCCUCUCAGUGCUGCAGCUAACGCAUUAAGCACUCCGCCUGGGGAGUACGACCGCAAGGUUGAAACUCAAAGGAAUUGACGGGGGCCCGCACAAGCGGUGGAGCAUGUGGUUUAAUUCGAAGCAACGCGAAGAACCUUACCAGGUCUUGACAUCUAGUGCCAUCCUAAGAGAUUAGGAGUUCCCUUCGGGGACGCUAAGACAGGUGGUGCAUGGCUGUCGUCAGCUCGUGUCGUGAGAUGUUGGGUUAAGUCCCGCAACGAGCGCAACCCUUGUUAUUAGUUGCCAGCAUUAAGUUGGGCACUCUAAUGAGACUGCCGGUGAUAAACCGGAGGAAGGUGGGGAUGACGUCAAGUCAUCAUGCCCCUUAUGACCUGGGCUACACACGUGCUACAAUGGACAGUACAACGAGAAGCGAGCCUGCGAAGGCAAGUGAAUCUCUGAAAGCUGUUCUCAGUUCGGACUGCAGUCUGCAACUCGACUGCACGAAGCUGGAAUCGCUAGUA
Molecule: ribosomal RNA, 1265 nt
Filed under: Lactobacillus helveticus
Lineage: Bacteria; Bacillati; Bacillota; Bacilli; Lactobacillales; Lactobacillaceae
Description: bacterial SSU rRNA
Rfam family: Bacterial small subunit ribosomal RNA
Source: RNAcentral